Molecule: long non-coding RNA, 366 nt
Filed under: Homo sapiens (human)
Lineage: Eukaryota; Metazoa; Chordata; Mammalia; Primates; Hominidae
Description: HSALNT0145698
Source: RNAcentral
AGUGACUUCACUCAGUGUUUAUCUAACAUGAGUGAGUGAAUGGUGUUUGCUGUUUUUUUGGUAAAGGUCCCAGGGGUUGUCGGGUACACAGGUCCUGUCUUUGGCCAUAAGCAAACUGAAAUGAGGCUUGGUCUCCUUCCCAGGAUCCCACACCAUGUCUCACAUGGUAGACCCCAGUGGGAAGUAUGUGACUGCCUGACUCAGGUGCCUCUCGUGGUCCAAGCCAUCCCUGCCCUGUCCCUUCCCUGGUUGUCGCCAGACCUGGAGCCCCUGCUCCUUCACUUUGCAGCCUCCUCUUCUGUCACCAACUGGGAACCCACCUCUUCCUGAAAGUCCUCCCCCACUGACUCACCGGCUUGCCCCGAG